Molecule: ribosomal RNA, 394 nt
Filed under: uncultured bacterium
Lineage: Bacteria
Description: partial 16S ribosomal RNA
Rfam family: Bacterial small subunit ribosomal RNA
Source: RNAcentral
CCUACGGGUGGCAGCAGUGAGGAAUAUUGGUCAAUGGACGGAAGUCUGAACCAGCCACGCCGCGUGCAGGAAGACGGCUCUAUGAGUUGUAAACUGCUUUUGUACAAGGGUAAACCUGAAUACGUGUAUUCAGCUGACAGUACUGUACGAAGAAGGAUCGGCCAACCGCGUGCCAGCAGCCGCGGUAAUACGGAGGAUCCAAGCGUUAUCCGGAUUUAUUGGGUUGAAAGGGUGCGUAGGCGGAUUGAUAAGCUGGAGGGGAAAUGUCCGAGCUUAACUCGGGAACUGCCUCGAAUACUGUUGAUCUAGAGAGUAGAUGCGGUAGGCGGAAUGUAUGGUGUAGCGGUGAAAUGCUUAGAGAUCAUACAGAACACCGAUUGCGAAGGCAGCUUAC